This 253-nucleotide ribosomal RNA is filed under the name uncultured bacterium. RNAcentral describes it as "partial 16S ribosomal RNA". It matches the Rfam family "Bacterial small subunit ribosomal RNA", at positions 524 to 776 of the family's 1533-position model. The record is from RNAcentral.
UACAGAGGUCUCAAGCGUUGUUCGGAUUCAUUGGGCGUAAAGGGUGUGUAGGUGGCGCGCUAAGUCGGGUGUGAAAUUUCGGAGCUUAACUCCGAAACUGCAUUCGAUACUGGCGUGCUUGAGGACUGGAGAGGAGACUGGAAUUUACGAUGUAGCAGUGAAAUGCGUAGAUAUCGUAAGGAAGACCAGUGGCGAAGGCGGGUCUCUGGACAGUUCCUGACACUGAGACACGAAGGCCAGGGGAGCAAACGGG